UGUACAGUGAGUGGUGUGACUGAAACAGUAAACUGACAGAACCCAAUUUCACAGCCACAGGAGAAAAGAGAAAUACUGUCCUGGAUUGGAAUGAAUCUUUGAAACAAGCUAAGGGUGCAGGGAUUCAGGUUAAGAAAUUGCUGUCCACUUGUUUGCGGGCUUUAACUCUAAAACCAGGCAUGGUGGAAAUCCACAGGCAAUGCAUUUUCGAGGGAACAAAUAAUUAUUCUGGCUAUGUAGCAAGGAAAACAAACUUGAAUUUGAAACACUCUGUGGCCUACAAUUUGACCCUGUUAAGCUUCAACUUCUGAUUUAGUAGACCUGCAUAAACACAUACAUUGCCAUAAAAAAUAUAAGCAAGUGGGAAGAGCUCAAGAUAUGAGCUUCGCUACAAAUAAUUGGCGGUCCCUGAGCAAGAAGACAGAUUCCUGCUGAGGAAGCACCACCUGUACUGCUUCAUGGUUCUGAGAACAAAUACUCUAAAAAGAUAUCUCCUAGAACUGAUGGAGACAAUGGAUAUGAAAAAGAAUAAGGAAAAACUGAAUUUUCUUCUUGAGUUGGGUCAAUAUUGAUAGUUCUCCAGUCCUCUUUCCAUCACUAUAGGAACAGAAAUGAUGUGUUGACAAUUUCACUAAUGCUGAUGAGAAUAAUGUUCUUAUUGACCCCUCCCCCUUUCUCCUUUACUUUACAAUCACAGUCUUUCCCAAAUUUCCUCUGUGAUUUAAGAGUUGGAGUCAAAAUGCACACUAACAUCAUAUAGUGCUUUUUUAUUAUUUGUCUUUUACUUAGGUCUAUUUUCAAUACUCAGCAAACAAGGAAGUUUUACAUUCAAUCAGCCACUUUAACAGCGAACUUGACCUCUGACUGUUAUACAGCUGACAUGAGUUCCAAUCCCCUAUGUCCUCUAUUGUUAGACUUUUAAUUAAGAAAGAAGAUAGUCUCAAAAAAACUCUCUAUAGGGGUGUGUGUGUGGUCUCUGUGUGUGUGUGGUUUCAAAUUUUUAAAAAAUUCAAAUUUUAAUAUAGGAAAAUAUAAAACUAGACAUGGUAUAGACAGAACAAAUCUUAAAAACAUUUCAGCUCUGCUUUCAUUACUGUGGUGUUUCCAACAUUAUGCAAUGAAAUUAGCAUUCUUUUUUGUAUCAUUGUCAAUGUCAA
Mesocricetus auratus (golden hamster) is the source of this 1157-nucleotide long non-coding RNA. RefSeq lists it as uncharacterized. The record is from RefSeq and is a predicted model, not a curated record. The transcript has 3 exons. Lineage: Eukaryota; Metazoa; Chordata; Mammalia; Rodentia; Cricetidae.